UACACGUGAACUGCAGUGUCUUACAUAGUACAGCUGCAAGGUUCCUUUUGAAAGUAACGAUCCCCAGCUCAUACCUAUGAGAAAAUCAAAGCAAACAUUUAGCCCUUGCUGGGAUCCAUUACACAGUAAGGAAAACCUUCCACUCUGCUGAAAGCGGUCUCUUACUUGGUUCUUAAGACUGGGGAGAUAGAGAGGUAAGUAAUGAUCAACCUGGUUUCUUCCCCUCUUCCUCCUUUUCCCAUGAGAGCUCUGUAGAACUCACCAGGUCUGGCAUGGCAGAAGCAUUCUGGAACUCAGCAGUGCUUUUCCUUUGCUCUGAGUAAUGCUCUUAUACUUCUCAGCUGGCUACCCAAGGCAGCUCAGCUCUGCUGGGUAUUACUGGGCAUAUCUACUUCUGUUUUAUAAUUGUUGUGUUUCUUCUGGUAUGAGACAAAGCAGGUUGUUAUCUUAGAGUCACGGUUUGUUCACCUCCUAUGUUUUUCCUGCAGGAGAAACAUGUACGCGGUUGUCACAGGGAGCUGAUGGUCAGGCUGUGAUACUCAGCUAAAAACUGCUCAUCAGAAGUGCUAACAUGCAGAAUUUGCAGUGCUGCAUGCCUGUAGUUGGUAGGAAUAAGAGGUGAAGAAGUCUCUCAAGUGUUAAUAUUCAUUGUGCUAGAUGGGUGCAAAUGGGCAGCUGUGUUCCCAGGAGACAGUCAUGUUGCAGGGGCAUUGAAACAGCUUCUGAAAGAGUAGCUGAGACAGAGAGGUGCUUCUUGAGGACGAAGUUGUCUGUAGACUUCUGGAGAUGCUAAAGUGGGCGAUGGGCUUCCCUUCUUUUUAAUCACUGAUUUUUAAAAGCAGUCCUGGAAAUACAUUGUACUGAUUUAAAUUGCUGAUAUGAGGAGCUUCUGUCCAUUAUGAGGAAAAAAAGCUUAAACUUCAAAACCUGAUGCUGAGUUGCAGUUUAGAUUUUUCUCUCCAAAUAUCCCAGAAUCAAGUAUUUCUUGCCAGGAAAUAUUCUUCUGCUUAAUUUCAGAUGCCAUAUUGUUAACGUAAAGCAGAAUUUGAAUGUGAAAUGAUGCAAAAGGUCCUCGCUUUCAUGAUUGCUGGAUAGCUGCUCCCUGUACAGUUCUCUGUAUACGGUUGAACACGUGGGGCCUGUUAAUCGAACUAAUCAACAGCAUGCUUGAACAGUGGGACGUUUUUAACCUUGGUAAUUCAUCUUGCCCUUCUCAAAGAAAGGAGGAGACGAAGGAUGUUUUGCACUGCACCUGUUUCUGGUUCUUCAGGGUGCAAUGAGUGUAGCCAGUAUCCAGAGACAGGGCUGGAUGGAGUAGUACAGCCUUCAGAGCACGUUGGUGUUUUUCAUUUUUGUGAAGGUUUGGUUUUUUUCCUGACUGACAUCACAAUGCAGUGCUGCACUCACACAGCUCAUCUUUUUGGAUCGUUGCGUCUCACUUUAAAUAGUGAGGUUUGAAAACUGAACUGGGAGUAGUCCAACAAGUUUAUUCUCUUAGGCCAUUGCAUUGAAAGCAUUUAACAGCUAGCAGGAGCAGGACCAACAGUGUAUCAUACUUGUGCAAAAAGAGGGAACUAGGAAGUGAGCAGCAACUUACUGCUUUUUUUGUUCUGUUCUUUGGUCAGCACAGAGGAACACAACAGAUCUCCUUAGGAGCCUGUGUUAGAUUUCUCAUUAUGACUGCAACUUCUGGGACAUCCUUAGUAAAUCAAAGUCAUUUCUGAAUUACCUGAGCACAAAAAAAAAAAAAAAAAAAAAAAACGAACCGGAACAUAAAGUUGACAGCUGUGAGGUUUUCUUUCUGCGUUCACCUCCCUCAGAAACAGCUGAAGGGAUUUUAGAAGACUUUCCGAAGAUAUCCCCCUUUGCACAUAGGGCAGAGUUAAACAGAAGAAAAACUUAGUAAAUCUACUACAACUCACUGUGUUUUGACAGCUUUUGUCUCUUCCUUAUUGCAGUAGUUUGUGCAUGUGUUUAGUUGGUACCAGUAUUUCAUGGAUAACUGCUCUUAACACAGGUUUUACAAAAGGUUGGUUGCCAUUCAUUAUUUCCCAGGGUGAGGAGUGUGCUGUUAGGCAGAGGUCAGAAUGUGCAGCCAUGGCUUGGGAACAUUUUCUCGCUGAAGUCAAAACCUGAGGAGUGAGCCAUGGGCUGAAGGACUCUGAUUGGAAUAUUGAUGUGAAUCGUGGCUGUGGGAAGGAAGAAUGGGGAGAGGGAGCAACUAAGCACACAUUCACAAUAACAAACAGCAACAAAAACCCCAUAAAAGCAGAUGUAUUUCAUUGAGAACAUAUAAAAAAAAAAGGGCGAAAGGAACGAAGAUGGCUAAUAUUUCCACAGGUGAUUUUUUUCUAUUGGCCUUCUGUCCCCAGAUGGAAGACAUUCUGUCCCAGCAGCUUAAUCAAGAGUUCAGGAGUUUACGGAAAGGUUGGAAUGAGGUUCAGUUUCUCCGUAUUUUGGUGAAACUGUGCAAUAACUGUUUUCAUUUGACUGUCUCUGUGACACGUGUGCACACCCGGGUCGGAUUUGGCAGAGAAAGAGUUAACAGCAAACUGUACCUCCCUUUCCUGCCCUUUGAAUGGGCCCUAAUGAUUCUGUGCUCUGUAAUGUGAUCACAGAAGUAGGAAGCCAUGAUGAAUUGGUUGGUUGCUGGUCCUGCAAGUGUGUGUUUUAUUACAGCAUGCAAACUUUGUGCUCUGCAGCAUCUAGAGAAAAGGACCUGGAUUCCAAAUCAUAGCUGAGUUUGAUGUGCAAGUCUGUUUUUAUGAGGUGUAUCUGCUGGCUCAGGGCUGAGCACCAAGGAGGUGUGCAGCAGGAUGGGAGAAGCUGCCCUUAUGCUCAAAGCGGGAAGCGUUUCUAUGGGAAUUAAUUUUGCUAUGUUGAAUUUGGGUGUGGAGUGAGCUGCAAAAUCCUUCAGCCUCAUUCUUCCCUCCCUCUUCUAUGUCCUUGUUCAUUCUCUAAAUAAUUUCAUGCAUGCAACUCCAAAAUUCCAGGUGUUCAGUGUGCGGUAGUGUCCCACAAGACCAUCGUCACUGGGCCACAGGACUCCAUGGCAGGGGCAGAAAGCCCACUGGGACACAUGGCAGGAGCAGCAUGGUGGCCUGGGUGUUUUCACAACAGUGGAAAACCGCAUUGUGUAAAGGAACAGUAAGCCAUGUGGGUAAAUGCGAACAGCAGUUUAAACGUGCAGUUUGUGACCAUUGCCUCCCAUACUGUCACUGGGCACCCGUGAGAAGAGCCUUUUCUUGACUCCUUCUCUUCCCCAUCAGGAAAGGAGCAUUUCCUUGUCUGCCCUGGUAAAUGGUUCUCCUACAGCCCCACGUGACGUGUCCUGUCUGCCAGCCAAGGAGGGCUGGCUGUGACAGCUUCAUGACCCCUCAGCUCUGCUCCUCACAAUGAGCGUGAGCCCUGACAAGUCUGGAGGUCCAGCGGUGUCCAGCUGACUUGUGUGCUCUCUGGCAGUUGGGAACCAGCGCAGCGUCUGCCUGCAGCGUUUCCAGUGGUUGGAGGAGGACGAAAAGUGCACAGCCUCUGUUGCAUGAAGGUGAGAGUUGGAAUUCUGCAGAAUUUGUCCAGAUUCUGUGCUGACUUCUCGAGAAAGCAGUGAGGAAGAAGAUUAAUUGAAAUCUGUCUCAUUCGGGGUCCAAGAGUUGUGGUAGCGAAACCUUCCUUCUGCAUCCUUCUUUCUGUCACUGCUCUCAGCAUUGCUUUGGGAGAGCGUUCUGAGCUCGCUGAAUGUGAGGCUCUUCCUUUUCACUGAUCCACUCCAUAAGCAACCUGUGUUGUGAUUCAUUCAUUGAGGAUAUGGAUGUAGCAAAGCCUUACUAAUGUUCCAGAACUGUGUUUUGGAUACUGUGAGGGCUUCAGGAGUAUUGGAAAGCUUUUGAAAUCUUCAGGGCUUGCAUUAUAAGCCUUCAAAAUGUAGAAAGCCCAGUUGGGUCAGCUGUGCAGGGUACCAGAGCAGAGUGGAGAGCUGAUGACAUAAUCCAGAUAAAGCAAAAACACCCAACCUGCUGUCCAUACAUAAAGGUAUGAGAGUCUACUUGGCCGAUUCCCCUUGAAAAGCCUGCAGCUGUUUCCAUACCGACUCCCACCCACCCACCCACCUGUGAGUCCAGUGUCACCUCAGCCAGGGGAGCUUGCGUGCACACAGAAUGGAAGUGGAAGACGAGCCCCUUUUAUUUUAACAACCCUUCCGACCUUUAACAAAAAUAAAAUGGAGAUGGCAGUUGUUUUUCUGUCUUUAAAGACAAAAACCUUUUUUGCACAUCUUUUGGCUUGAUGACGGGAGCAGGUGUUCUCCCACAGAUACGGCUCUGUGCUGGGACCACUGCUGGCUGGUCUGGUGUGUGAAGGGUUGGUAAAUGCCCGAUGGGGAGCAAAGGUACUGGAAAGGAGUGGGCUGUUAAAUCUCACUGGUACUGAACAAAUGUAAUAGCUGUCUUCAGUGUAAUUCAUAGCACAUAGGGGGAAUUCAGAAGGUAUUGUAUUUGUAGCUCUUAACGAACAGUUGAUUUCCUGACAUGAGUAAAUCUGUUAAAAAGCUGGGUAUGUAGCAAGCAGAUACAAAUGUCAUGGCAUAGAUUCUGUAUUGGCUGACGUGCAGGGAAGAGAGUAAUAGCAAUGCAGAGACCUCCGAGUAUGAAAUCCUAUAAAGCAUUUUUUUGUUCAAAUGGAAACAGUGAUAUGCUGGUAGUGUCCCCAUCAUGGAGGAGCACAAAGGGGUGGUCAAGGGAUAGGAGAAGAAAGGAAGAAUGUCCUUUGUUUCUUCCCUCUGGGACCUUCAAGAGCUGUUGAUAAACAUAAAGAUAGAAAAUACACACAUAAAGAUAGUAGUUCUAAGGGUUGGAAAAGAUAAUGUGAGGCACCCAAGGUUUUUCCCAGGUCAGAAAGCUUUGGAACUGUCCCAGAGUUCAGUUUCUGUGAUCUUCAUUUUGCUGAGCAGUUCAUGGCAGCAGAGAGGACUCGUUGGUGUCCGGACAAAGAGGGAAGAGGAAACCAAGCUGUAAAGAUGUGUGGAAAAGCAAGGAAUUAAUUACUGCUUGCACUGGUUGUUUGUCGCCUUACUGCCCUUCUUGCCUCCCUGGAGCCCAGCUGACUUCCUGGGAUUGCUGAACGGCUGCCUUUUGCCACCUCCUGCCUGUCGCAUCGAACACCAGGGCGAAUUGGGUGGCUCUACAUGAAGCACUACAACAAACGUGACAGGCGAAGACCCAUCCCUGCGGAGCGGCACUACUCCCUCCACGUUCUCCAGAACCAUCGGCGCAACCUGGGCCUGGUGGGCGGCACAUCUUCCAGCACGCUGAGGAUCAGCAGUGUCUGCAGCACCAGACAGCGCAUGGUCGGCUCGCUGUCCUCCUUGGCUCCCUCCAGGGCUGCAAUGGAGCGGUGCUGUGUCACCACGUGGGCCCCACAUGGCACUUCCUGGGGCACGGGGCAGCGGGGGGGGAUGGCUCACCUUUACGGAUGUCCGACAUCUUCUCCCGGUUCUCAUUCCUCAGCUUUCGCCCUAGCAGCCCUGCGCACA
Molecule: long non-coding RNA, 5527 nt
Organism: Gallus gallus (chicken)
Lineage: Eukaryota; Metazoa; Chordata; Aves; Galliformes; Phasianidae
Exons: 6
Source: RefSeq, a predicted model, not a curated record